This is a long non-coding RNA of Carassius auratus (goldfish), 2802 nucleotides long. Lineage: Eukaryota; Metazoa; Chordata; Actinopteri; Cypriniformes; Cyprinidae. The record is from Ensembl.
AUGGGUGUUACGCACGGUUUGUCACGGAUACACCAUUCAGUUUCGGAAAGGCCCGCCUCCUUUCCGCGGAAUUCUUCCCACUACGGUGAAGUCUACGGAAAUGGCGGUGCUGCGACAAGAAAUGUCAGCUCUGCUGAGCAAAGGGGCUAUAGAAGAAGUACACCCCUCUCAGAUGGAGACAGGUUUUUACAGCCGUUAUUUCGUGGUACUGAAAAAAGACGGCGGGUUACGACCCAUUCUGGAUUUACGCCGUCUGAAUCUUGCACUCAGACCGAGCAAAUUCAAGAUGUUGACGGUGAAAUCUAUUCUGUCUCAGAUCCGACCAAGCGAUUGGUUUAUUACGAUCGAUCUGAAGGAUGCGUAUUUCCAUAUUCAGAUCGUCAAGAGACACAGGAAGUUCCUCAGAUUCGCUUUAGAGGGCAAAGCGUAUCAGUACCGCGUUCUUCCUUUUGGCUUGGCUUUAGCGCCCCGUACUUUCUCAAAAUGCAUGGACGCAGCUCUGGCCCCGUUGCGGCUCCAGGGCGUUCGUGUGUUGAAUUAUUUGGACGAUUGGCUGGUGCUAUCGCAAUCGCGGACUCAAGCACACUCUCACCGAGAUCUUGUGCUGAAUCAUUUAAACAGCCUGGGCUUACGAACAAAUUUCAAGAAGAGUGUUUUAACUCCCUCUCAACGGAUAACUUUUCUUGGAAUAGAUCUGGACUCUCGCGCGAUGACAGCGAAGCUUUCUCUCCCGCGCGCUCAGUCGAUUGCGUCAUGCGUGCGGCACUUCAAAGCGGGUCGCACGGUGACAGUGAGAUUGUGCCUCAGGCUCUUGGGUCUAAUGGCAGCAGCAUCCCCCGUGAUUCGUCUGGGAUUGCUUCAAAUGCGCCCCUUUCAGUGGUGGACAAAAAGGCGGAAUAUUUCACCCCGUUGUCUCCCGCAUCGCACGAUUUCGGUGACACGGCGGUGUGUGAUGUCGCUAAGAAUUUGGAUGUCAACCGAAUUUCUCCUGUCAGGAGUUCGAUUGGGAAUUUAUGCUUUCCGAGAGACUGUUGGGGAGCUGUGUGUCGAGGGCGACCAGCCCACGGAGUGUGGACAGCGGCUCAGCGCGGCUGGCACAUAAACAGACUGGAAUUACUGGCAGUUUUUCUGGCUCUCCAGUAUUUCGCGGAUCUGCUGAAGCGGCCGUCAUGUGCUGCUCUGAUCAGACAACACAGCGGUUGUGUCUUAUCUGAACCAUCAAGGAGGAUUGCGCUCUCGCCCCCUGUGCAGGCUGGCGAGGCGUGUUCUUCUGUGGUCUCGGGACAAGUUUCUCUCGAUCCGGGCCAUUCAUGUCCCCGGACGAUUGAAUUUCGGAGCGGACCUGCUAUCCAGACAGGCUCUGGAACAGGGAGAAUGGCGAUUACACCCCCAGACGGUGGAUCUGUUAUGGCGGAUAUUCGGCAAAGCGAAAGUGGAUUUAUUCGCAUCGAGCAUGACUACGCAUUGCCCGCUAUGGUUCUCCCUACGCUCCCCAUCGCCCCUGGGCGUGGAUGCGUUAGCUCACAGCUGGCCCAGGACCAGUCUGUAUGCUUUUCCUCCGAUUCGUUUGAUCCCAGCGGUAUUAUGCAGAGUACGCCGGGACAGAGUGGAACAGCUGCUGCUGGUGGCUCCGCGAUGGCACACGCAGCCGUGGUUUGCGGAUCUGAUCAGUCUGCUAGCGGGCUCUCCGUGGGAGAUUCCCAUCAGACAGGAUUUAUUAUCACAAGCACAGGGGCUGAUUUGGCACCCGAGGCCAGAUCUGUGGAAACUGUGGGCGUGGCCACUGAGCGGAGUGCAAUAGUAUGUCCCGGUCUUUCUGUUGAAACUACUGAGACUAUAUUGAGUUCUAGAGCAGCUUCUACGAGACGCUUAUAUGCUUUCAAGUGGAGACUGUUUACAGCCUGGUGUGGCAAUCAUAAUGUGGAUCCAGUUUACUGCCCAGUGGCUUCAGUGCUGGAGUUCCUCCAGGAGCGUUUCUCGGAUGGCGUUACACCAGCCACUUUAAAGGUUUACGUGGCAGCCAUUUCAGCUUACCACGAAUACAUAGGCGGUGCCUCUGUGGGGCGUCAUCCAUUAGUUUCUCGUUUCAUACAGGGUGCGCGACGGCUGAGGCCUUUCCGCCCUGUGCGAGUUCCUUCAUGGGAUUUAUCCAUUGUGUUGUUAGGUUUAUCAGGGCAUCCGUUUGAGCCCUUGGAGACCGUCUCAGAUAAAAUCCUGACACUGAAGACACUUCUUCUCAUGGCCUUAUCCUCCCUCAAGAGAGUUGGGGAUUUACAGGCUCUUUCGGUUUCACCCUCAUGCAUGGAAUUUGCACCAGGCUCUGUGAAGGUGCUGCUGCGGCCCAGGCCUAACUAUGUUCCUAAGAUCGCAUCUAACCCUUUUCGCUUUCAGCAAGUGGUUCUGGAAGCUUUUUCACCUGCUGAGGCCGGGUCAGGAGAUCUAAGUCUUUGCCCUGUGAGAGCUUUAAAGACUUAUGUGGAUCGCACAGCCCCUUGGCGUGGAUCUGACCAGCUGUUUGUCUGCUUUGGACAUAAGAGUAAGGGCCAUGCAGUUACAAAGCAGCGCAUGUCCCAUUGGCUGGUGGAGGCAAUUUCUUUGGCCUAUGAGGCGCGCGGACUCGCUUCGCCCUUAGGGGUUAAGGCUCAUUCCACUCGAGCUGUAGCUUCUUCUCAAGCUUUUCUCAGUGGCUCUUCUAUGGAUGAUAUCUGUGCUGCGGCAGGAUGGUCCUCACCGAGCACUUUUAUCAAGUCCUACAGUCUGGAUGUGAGGAUGGCCCCUGGCUCCCGGGUUCUCUCCGCUUGA